CCUCUCUCUCUCUCUCUCUCUCUCUCUUUUUCUCUAGGGUUUCCAUGAGACCUCCAUUUCACGUCCUUUCACCUUCCUCUUUGAUCCACGCUCUCGCCACCACCGCCUGCGCAAGCGAUUAGCCCCAACACGAGGACUCAUUGGAGACUUCACUCGCUCGGUUCCGCUCCCCUUUCAGCUGAUGGCCAAGACAAAGCCAGGCAAGAAGGACCUCGAUUCCUACACCAUCAGGGGCACCAACAAGGUCGUCGAAGUCGGCAACUGCGUGUUGAUGCGGCCAUCGGAGUCGGACAAGCCGCCGUACGUGGCGAGAGUGGAGAAGAUCGAGGCCGAUCACCGUAAUAACGUGAGGGUGAAGGUUCGGUGGUACUACCGACCCGAGGAGUCCAUGGGUGGCCGCCGGCAGUUCCAUGGCGCCAAGGAGCUGUUCCUCUCUGACCACUAUGACGUGCAGAGUGCGCACACCAUCGAGGGCAAGUGUGUUGUCCACACCUUCAAAAACUACACCAAGUUGGAGAAUGUGGGCGCUGAGGAUUACUUCUGCCGCUUCGAGUACAAGGCUGCCACUGGGGCCUUCACGCCUGAUCGCGUAGCAGUGUACUGCAAGUGUGAGAUGCCUUACAACCCGGAUGAUCUGAUGGUCCAGUGUGACGGAUGCAAGGAUUGGCAAACGUUGAUCAGAUAGCAAGCUUUGAAUUCUUCUCAUUCUGCUAGAUCUGAACAGCAGCAAAAGGUAGUGUGGAUCAUCAAUUCCUAAUUGUUUUCCCUUCCUGAUUUCAUCCAAGUAAACAUUGGAUAAAUGAAGUCCUGUCAAUAUCUUCCUUUUUCACGUUACCUUCAUUCACACCAGAUAAACACACUAUAAUAUGAAAAAAUGUUGGAGAAAAAGGUGAAUCGGCCACCUUGCUCAAUGUUUUUUAAAAAAUAAUUGUUAUAUUUAGGCAUUUUGUAUAAUAAGGCCUUGUCAGGGCAAUUGCUCAAUAUUCAAAGUUGGUGGAGUAGCUAGCACAGUUGUGCUACUACUAGAAGUCUAGAAUGAUGUCGGUUGGUAGAGCAUAUCAAUCAACAUGACUAAUUCUAGAAGUCUAGAAUGAUGUCAGAUGGUAAUCAGUCAACAUGUUGGAGGAAUACGAUGCUUCACCUCCAUACUUUUGCAUGCUUUACUUUAGCCCAGUUACUGCUCACUGUGCAUCCUUUAAGGUCUCACUGUAUUGCCCUUUUCUAAUAUCUGUUCAUAGAGUUGUUUUAUUGAAAAAAAUGAUGAUAAUCCCUUGCAUAAAGGUACUUCUCAAAGCAUGGGUGUGAAUUUCUUGGUAGACUAUGUGAAACUUAAAUCCCGUGUCUCAAAGGCUCUAAACAAUAAUAUGGAAACUUUAUUAUAAUACUAAAAAUGGUUGGUUGAGAAAAAAACAUGGUUCCGUCACGUUAGCUGCCCCUUACGACUAUCCCACGCCAUUGAGAGGGAACCCAAAUUGACAAGUGCAUGAACGGGUCCGCAGAGAUGAUGAAAUCCCUUGUUGAGUUUCGACUACAGUCAUUAUCCCAUACACUUACCAAUUGAACCAGCCCUCGGGGCCAAAAAAACAAAACAAAAAAAAGGUUAGUUGAAAGCUAGAAUGUGUUGUUGUUGGCUACAGAUAUGUAAGGUUAUUCCCACCUAUCAAUUGAUCUGUCUUUUAGCCACCAACUCAUGCAAGGUUAUUCCCCUCGAGAGCCUGAGUUUCCCACUGCAUAUGUUAAAAUCUAAUUGCUUUAUUUGUUAUCUUCAGUCACUGUAUAAUUUACUUGCCAAGGUUCAAAUUCUUGGACACUGUCAAUGCAGGAAUAUUACUGCAGCUUUUAUCAUUUCACAGGCGCUCUUUCUUUCAUUUUAUGCAAAAUAUUUUCUCUGUAUCAUUUAUUCAUAAAUUCUGUUAAUGUGUCCUGUUUGGGCAAACAUUUAUAUGUUUAUUAAUGCAGAGUCAGUUUGGCUAUGAACCUCGUAUCACUGCAAGAGUUCAUUUAUGUUUGUGAUAAUUGUAAUAUUAAAAUUGAUAAAUAUAAGUUUGUGUUUGGAAGUGAAUGAUUAAUACAAAGCUUUUGGUUUGUGUAUUGAUAAAACUGUGGCCAAAAGUGGAUGAUGUUUUUGUUCGUACAUGAGCAGCAAUUCAGCAAAGCUGACUGAUUUGGAAUGGAGAUUGCUAUCUAAAUGAAUUUUAUACCUUCAGGAGAUUUAUGUUUACCUUAUUCCAUGAUGUGCUUCCAGUUAAUGUGAUCUGGAGUAAUGGUUUCAUCCUUUGCUGUGUUUUUGCAUGUGAUGAAGCUAAGUCCUAUUAGUCAUUGUAUCUCUUUAACCAUCUGUUAUUGGGAUUAACCACUUGUAUUAGUGACCAGGGGUUAUUCUCUACUUAGUUUCUCUGUCGUUCUGCACUAUAUACUGGGGUAAAUAAAUCAUUUAUGCAAAUAGGUUCCAUCCACCUUGCAUGGGCAUGGCAAUUGAACAAGCAAAAAAGUUGGAACACUUUCUAUGCGCUGACUGUGACACUGAAAAUGAUGCAAAAAGAUCUGCAAAUGGAUUCCCAGCUUCACCCGUCUCUGAACCCAAGGCUGAACCUAAAAGGAGGAAGAGGUAAUUGCCAUUGCUGUUGCUUCAGCUUUCGAGGGGGCAGUUCACCUGCAUUUUAUGAAAAAUCUACUCAUCUUGAUGGUAGUUUGAGAUUGUACAGUGCAGAGAAUAGACUAUUUGAAAGGAAACCAUUACAAUAUUGUGAACUUGUGAAACUGUAAGCUGGUAAGAAAUGCAAUGAAAAAAGAAAUCAGAUGUGGGUGUUAUCGCCCUCCUCA
RNA transcript from Zingiber officinale, 2823 nucleotides. It is a transcript of the gene named chromatin remodeling protein EBS-like, with no coding region annotated. Lineage: Eukaryota; Viridiplantae; Streptophyta; Magnoliopsida; Zingiberales; Zingiberaceae. The transcript is spliced from 5 exons. The record is from RefSeq and is a predicted model, not a curated record.